CUGAUCUUAAAAAAUGUGAAGUCUUUAAAUAUAUGUAUGUAUAUACAGAUUUCUGAGGCUCACCAGAACCAGGAAAUCAGACACUCCAGCAGUGAGAAUGAGGAAUCUGCACUUUUAAGCAGCUCUCCAGCCUUCAAUUUCCUAAUAGAUGAGACAGAUGAACCCAAAGAAACUCAGACUUAAGCAGACAGAGCCUGAAAAAAGAAAAUACAUGC
Molecule: long non-coding RNA, 215 nt
Organism: Callorhinus ursinus (northern fur seal)
Lineage: Eukaryota; Metazoa; Chordata; Mammalia; Carnivora; Otariidae
Source: RefSeq, a predicted model, not a curated record